This 77-nucleotide transfer RNA is filed under the name Ignavibacteria bacterium. Its description in RNAcentral is "tRNA-Pro". It matches the Rfam family "tRNA". Rfam says of the family: Transfer RNA (tRNA) molecules are approximately 80 nucleotides in length. Lineage: Bacteria; Pseudomonadati; Ignavibacteriota; Ignavibacteria. The record is from RNAcentral.
CGGGAUGUAGCGUAGUCCGGUAGCGCGCUUCGUUCGGGACGAAGAGGUCGCUGGUUCGAAUCCAGUCAUCCCGACAA